CUUUAAUGUAGCAUGUGCUAACCAGAUCCUCUUGUGACCAGGGUUUUGCAAGCCCCCUUCAAACCCUGGUCAUACAUGGAAGUCUAACAAGGGUUAACUAUGUUUAGUACUAAUGCAGGCAUGAUACUGUAUCAUAGUUACUGCAAGCCAUAGGGCAAGAGGAAGGAAACAGAACUCUGUAUUCCUAACCAUGGACUAGCAGAUUGAGAAUGCGUGCACUGGGGCCCAGAGGCAUUGUAAAGCAGUUUCAUUAGUGAGUUAAAAUAUCAUGUUGCCAGAACCGGGUCAUUGAAAAGACAGGUGAAUUAAGCUUGUGUGAUUGAUGGUUAAUGGGUUAUACUAUGCAGUAAGGGCAAUCAGGAGGAUUACUGCAGUUACUUUUCUGUAUAUAAUUGCUCUUGUACAUAUAAUAAGGGUUAUCUCCCCCCACACACAUUGUUAUUAAAAUUUGUGGCAUUCUGUUUUGUUUUUAUUAACUUGUCUAAUUUUUUGAAUAAAACUUAAUUUUAUUCCUCA
Long non-coding RNA from Heteronotia binoei (common prickly gecko), 516 nucleotides. RefSeq lists it as uncharacterized. The record is from RefSeq and is a predicted model, not a curated record. The transcript has 2 exons. NCBI's taxonomy places the organism in Eukaryota, Metazoa, Chordata, Lepidosauria, Squamata, Gekkonidae.